ACGGGUGAGAAACGCGUAGGAAUCUGCCCAAUAGAGGGGGACAACCGGAGGAAACUCCGGCUAAUACCGCAUAAUACUCUUCGGAGGAAAGGCUGGGUAGCAAUACCUGGCGCUAUUGGAGGAGCCUGCGUCCGAUUAGCUAGUUGGUAGGGUAAAAGCCUACCAAGGCGAUGAUCGGUAGCUGGUCUGAGAGGAUGAUCAGCCACACUGGGACUGAGACACGGCCCAGACUCCUACGGGAGGCAGCAGUGGGGAAUAUUGGACAAUGGGGGCAACCCUGAUCCAGCAAUACCGCGUGUGUGAAGAAGGCCUUAGGGUUGUAAAGCACUUUAGGUGGGGAAGAAGGUGUGCAGUUUAAGAGACAGCACAUUUGACGGUACCCACAGAAUAAGCACCGGCUAACUCUGUGCCAGCAGCCGCGGUAAUACAGAGGGUGCAAGCGUUAAUCGGAGUUACUGGGCGUAAAGGGCGCGUAGGCGGUUAUAUAAGUGAGAUGUGAAAUCCCUGGGCUUAACCUAGGAACUGCAUCUUAUACUGUAUAGCUAGAGUAUUGUAGAGGGUAGUGGAAUUUCCGGUG
RNAcentral lists this ribosomal RNA (577 nucleotides) under uncultured bacterium. RNAcentral describes it as "bacterial SSU rRNA". It matches the Rfam family "Bacterial small subunit ribosomal RNA", at positions 102 to 675 of the family's 1533-position model. The record is from RNAcentral.